Molecule: long non-coding RNA, 144 nt
Organism: Selaginella moellendorffii
Lineage: Eukaryota; Viridiplantae; Streptophyta; Lycopodiopsida; Selaginellales; Selaginellaceae
Exons: 3
Source: RefSeq, a predicted model, not a curated record
UCGGGUUUUCUACCCGCUUGCUGUGACUUACCAAGAUAUAGCAAAACUUUCCAUCGAGGACGAGAGGUUGUUCCAAAGGUUUUGGAACGUUCGUAUCCCAUCACCUCUGGAACGAGGGCUCCGGGUUAUAGCCAUAGAUGACAG